Molecule: ribosomal RNA, 505 nt
Filed under: uncultured bacterium
Lineage: Bacteria
Description: partial 16S ribosomal RNA
Rfam family: Bacterial small subunit ribosomal RNA
Source: RNAcentral
GACGAACGCUGGCGGCGUGCCUAAUACAUGCAAGUAGAACGCACAGGUUAUAUCGUAGCUUGCUACACCAUAAACUGUGAGUUGCGAACGGGUGAGUAAGGCGUAGGUAACCUGCCUGGUAGCGGGGGCUAACUAUUGGAAAGGAUAUCUAAUACCGCAUAAUAUUAAUUAUUGCAUGAUAAUUGAUUGAAAGAUGCAAUGGCAUCACUAGCAGAUGGGCCUGCGUUGUAUUAGCUAGUAGGUGAGGUAACGGCUCACCUAGGCGAGGAUACAGAGCCGACCUGCGAGGGUGGUCGGCCGGACUGGGAGGGAGACACGGACCAGACUCACACGGGAGGCAGCCGGAGGGGAUCUUAGGCAAUGGACGAAAGUAUGACCGAGGAACGCAGGGUGAGUGAAGAAGGGUGUCGGAUCGUAAAGGUCGGUUGUAAGAGAAGAAAGGGUGUGAGAGUGGAAAGUUCACACUGUGACGGUAUCUGAACAGAAAGGGACGGCUAACUACGUG